GUUUUGCGACCUGUUUGAUAAACUCGUCGUGCCAGUUGUCGAUAGAUUCAAAGGUUUUAAGAGUAUUCACGUCAUAGACGAGAACACAACAAUCUGUGUCUCGGUAGAAUCGUGAUGGUAAACUUUUAAAUCUUUCUUGUCCAGCAGUAUCCCAAAUCUGUGCGAAAGAAAA
RNAcentral lists this small RNA (172 nucleotides) under Arabidopsis thaliana (thale cress). Its description in RNAcentral is "ATSL284670". The record is from RNAcentral. Lineage: Eukaryota; Viridiplantae; Streptophyta; Magnoliopsida; Brassicales; Brassicaceae.